CGUGUCGUGAGAUGUUGGGUUAAGUCCCGCAACGAGCGCAACCCUUGACCUUAGUUGCCAGCAUUCAGUUGGGCACUCUAAGGUGACUGCCGGUGACAAACCGGAGGAAGGUGGGGAUGACGUCAAAUCAUCAUGCCCCUUAUGACCUGGGCUACACACGUGCUACAAUGGAUGGUACAAAGGGCUGCGAGACCGCGAGGUUAAGCCAAUCCCAGAAAACCAUUCCCAGUUCGGAUUGCAGGCUGCAACCCGCCUGCAUGAAGCCGGAAUCGCUAGUAAUCGCGGAUCAGCAUGCCGCGGUGAAUACAUUCCCGGGCCUUGUACACACCGCCCGUCACACCACGAGAGUUUGUAACACCCGAAGUCGGUGAGGUAACCUUUACGGAGCCAGCCGCCGAAGGUGGGACAGAUGAUUGGGGU
Molecule: ribosomal RNA, 420 nt
Filed under: uncultured bacterium
Lineage: Bacteria
Description: bacterial SSU rRNA
Rfam family: Bacterial small subunit ribosomal RNA
Source: RNAcentral